CCUUACGUGAAGGCGAAAAGACAAACUUCAAGGGCAGCCAAAGCUCCUUUUAUCCGAAGAUGGAGGUAAGAAGAAACAGGGGAAGGAGAGAGGGAAAGAAAAGGGAAUUAGUACUCCCUUGACUAAGAAAUAUUGGUUUCAGAGGUAUAGUCUUUUCUCAAAAGUAUGAUAAAGCAAUUAAAACGGACGAGGAUGGAUGGUAUUCGGUUACUCCAGAAGAGAUAGCCAUUAAGCAUAACAAGAAAUGUGACUGUGGUGGACUUGUCAUUGAUUGCUUUUUCGGUGUCAGUGGUAAUGCCAUCGAAUUUGCUAGACUGAGUUUAAUGAAAAAGGCUCAUUUAAUAAAAAUCUGUGCAAGUCUGGUGAUGGUUUUAUUCAUAUAUGUUGCGGUAUUUUCACCAUAUCUCUGUCUACAGAACUCCAAAUGCAAUGAUUCUUCAACCAUUAGACUUUAAAGAGGAAGGGCUUCAACUUUUAUGUUUACUACUUUACCUAGUUCGGAUUGGAUCACGGUUAAAAUAUUUGUCUAAGUCGGAGUACUACAGCCGUACACAGAGACUAAGCAUGAUGUAGUAUUUGGAGCAUAUCUUUCAAUCCAAAAGUCCAAUUGACAUGAUUCUUAAUUCAUUGAAAAACUAAAAGAUAGAGCCACAACUUUUAUGUUUUUCAGUUUUCCUAGUUCGGACCAGAUUCGGGUGAAAAUCACAUUCAAAGUUGAUAAAUUGCUGUAGCACUAGUAGAAUAAGGUUGCAGUGUUGGAGAAAGGAAACACAAUACAUUUUCCCAAGAGCUCAGUGCUGCAGCAUUGAAGAAGUAGUGCUGCAGCACUGGUUGAUUUUUCAAAAAUAAAAAAUUGACAAGAUUUUGAAAAUUAGGUUACUUGGAGCCUAUUUAAGGGAGCUUUGUUAGAGGUUUAGAGGAGGAGACAGCAACCAACUAUUCUGGAGAUUUGGAACCAAGAACACAGCAAGAAAACAAGAGAAUUUGAGAGAGAAUGGAGAUUAUAAAGCUUCAAUAAUUAGUUUCUUUUUCUACUUUUAUGUUUUUCUUAUUUU
Molecule: long non-coding RNA, 1055 nt
Organism: Theobroma umbraticum
Lineage: Eukaryota; Viridiplantae; Streptophyta; Magnoliopsida; Malvales; Malvaceae
Source: RefSeq, a predicted model, not a curated record